GAUGAAGAACGCAGCGAAAUGCGAUACUUGGUGUGAAUUGCAAAAUCCCGUGAACCAUCGAGUCUUUGAACGCAAGUUGCGCCUCAAGCCAUUAGGUUGAGGGCACGUCUGCCUGGGCGUCACAUAUCGUUGCCUGAUGCCAGUUUCCUCGUGAUGGGUGACUGUGCAGGGCGAAUGAUGGCUUCCCGUGAGCAUUGUUGCCUCAUGGUUGGUUGAAAAUUGAGUCCUUGGUAGGGAGCGCCGUGAUAGAUGGUGGUUGAGUGACGAACGAGACCCAAUCAUGUGAGACCCCUACCGAAUUUGGCCUUCAUGACCCACAUGCGUCUUUGGAACGCUCAUGACGAGACCUCAGGUCAGGCGGGGCUACCCGCUGAGUUUAAGCAUAUCAAUAAGCGGAGGA
Molecule: unclassified non-coding RNA, 400 nt
Filed under: soil metagenome
Description: partial contains 5.8S ribosomal RNA, internal transcribed spacer 2, and large subunit ribosomal RNA
Rfam family: 5.8S ribosomal RNA (bases 1-122)
Source: RNAcentral